CCCUUAGAUGUUCUGGGCCGCACGCGCGCUACACUGAUUCAUGCAACAAGUUUUGUCCUUGGCUGAUAGGCCUGGGUAAUCUUUGAACGUGAAUCGUGAUGGGGAUAGAUGAUUGCAAUUAUUCAUCUUCAACGAGGAAUUCCUAGUAAACGCAAGUCAUCAGCUUGCAUUGAUUACGUCCCUGCCCUUUGUACACACCGCCCGUCGCACCUACCGAUUGAAUGGUCCGGUGAAAUCUCGGGACGGCGGCUUGGUCGCUUGCGUCCGACUGCCGAAACUUGAUUAAACCAUAUCAUUUAGAGGAAGGUGAAGUCGUAACA
Molecule: ribosomal RNA, 320 nt
Filed under: uncultured eukaryote
Lineage: Eukaryota
Description: partial 18S ribosomal RNA
Rfam family: Eukaryotic small subunit ribosomal RNA
Source: RNAcentral